This 2001-nucleotide long non-coding RNA is filed under the name Gossypium barbadense (sea-island cotton). RNAcentral describes it as "long non-coding RNA (GBAR_LNC022215)". The record is from RNAcentral. Lineage: Eukaryota; Viridiplantae; Streptophyta; Magnoliopsida; Malvales; Malvaceae.
CAGCCUGAAGUGUAGCUUUUGUUUUUUUUUUUUUAAAGAUUUGAGGAUUCUUAGCACAUAUAGGUCAAUUUUUUAUCCUUUUUCUUUUUAUGCUUUACUUCAUUCAAGUACUUCGGCAAAAUCAUAGAUUUUACAUGUUCUAUAAUUUUUGUUAACAUCAUUAGAAAAUCUGAAAUGCAUCACUUCAAUUGUUAAGGUGUAUUAUGUUAAUAUGUUCUAUUAUUUCUGUCUCGAUGCUUAAGACCUGGUAUGUUGAAGUUAUCUCCAUUGGCAGAUUUGUUAGUGGAAAUUAUAGGUUGUAAUGACUUUUUGGAGUCUUUUUACUUGAUUUAUUUUCCAUUCAUCUUUCUAAAGGACUUAAUAAUGAAGGUAUUUUCAGCUUUUGGAUUUGUGCAUAAGAAUACUACCUUUGAGAAGACAGCUGGAUUUCAGGUAAAUGAAUUAAAUCUCCUUCUUCCUAGAUUGAUUGGUUUGCAAUUUUUAUCAUUUAUAGCUUGUUUUGCAGUUUUUGAUCUGUUUAAUUACUUGUCUUGUGUUCUUUGUUUAUAUAUAGUCAGGGAUAUAUAUAUUGAAUGGGUACUGAUGCUAUUGAAGCAGGGGAGACUCCAUUUGACUCCUAUCCUAGUUCCUUUGAGGUACUAUUUUCGAGUUCCUUUCACUUUUUUUCUAUUCUAACUUUGAAUCUACUGUAUAAUUUGAUCGUUAUCGGGAAUAAUUACAUGCAUUUGUUUGUGUUUUUUUGCUUAAGCAAGUGUUAAAAGCCUUGGAAAUUCGGUUUGUGCCCUACAAGCUUUAAGUUAUAAUGUUUUUGAGUUUAGAUGUUUAGGUAAUUUCAUUGUGUAUGACUUAAAAUUAUAGUUAGUAAUAAUAUUACUAAAUAGUGUGUAAAGCAUGCUAAAUGAUAGGUCCAAAGAUCAAAAGAUAAAAUGUUGCUACCUAUGGGAUAAGGUCAGUAUAUCAUUUAAAACCAGACUACUCAAAAGAAAAGCAGUAACAAUAACAACAAUAAUGACAGUGAGUGACAGCAAACCAUCUCACCCUAAAGGAAGAACAACACUUUUUAAUCAACCAUCCAAUGUUGCAAACAAUCUGCACAAAGCCAUUGCCUCCAAUUAGGUAAAAACAUCCAUCCUUUUACUUUUAACAAAGAAUUUAACUUAGAGGAAAAACUGUUUUAAAGAAUAAAUAUAUCUUGCAUCACUAUACAGAUUACUAUUUGAGAGUGCACUAAUUAAUGUAGACUUCCCCUGUUAAUUGAGAAAAAGGGUAAAUGUUGAGCAUGCGAAAAUAGAGGGAAAAACACAAGAUAUCUCUAACUUGUUAGUCUGAAGAAACAAAAUAUCCUAAGCUCCCACAACCAAGAACAAAGCAAAAAAGAGGGGAGAAACCAGCAAAAACGAGGGACAAACCAGCAAGAACAAGGGAGAAACCAGCAAGAACGAGGGGAGAAACUGUUGUUUUGUUCCCAAAUCUGAAAACAAAUAAGAUUGGGAAAGAAAUUAGUUUAACAUCUAAGGAUAAAAUGAUAAAAUAAUAAAUUAAAGUAUGAGUAUUUUUGUCCAGUGCAGUGCAGCAGUGGAGAUAAGGCUUAGACAUCUCACUGUGCUAGAGCUGACUGGAGCUUUUAGCACCAGUGGAGAUAAGGCUGUCCAGUGCAGUAAAAAAGUCUCACUGUGCUGGAAGCAAGACAUCCAAACAACCAAGCAAUUCACUGUGGUGCAGUGAGAUUGAAAAUCAAGGUAAAAAUUUUCAACGCAUUGUGGUGCAGUGAGAUUGAAAACUUUGCUUUUUUUUUUUAAUUAUUAUUGUGUAAUAUAUUAUAUAGGUUAAUAUACCAUUUGGUACCCGAGCUUGGUUUUAAUGUUCAAUUUGAUACCUGAGUUUUUUGUCUCAAUUAGUAUCUAAGUUUGGCUUCAGUAUACACUUAUAGCAUGGAUAACUUAGAUUUGAAAUGUUAAAAAAGAGCCCUCUUGAAUUUUAACAUCACUAUUUUUUUUUUAA